This 497-nucleotide ribosomal RNA is filed under the name uncultured bacterium. RNAcentral's name for it is "partial 16S ribosomal RNA". It matches the Rfam family "Bacterial small subunit ribosomal RNA", at positions 28 to 507 of the family's 1533-position model. The record is from RNAcentral.
GAUGAACGCUGGCGGCGUGCCUAAUACAUGCAAGUCGAGCGAACAGACGAGGAGCUUACUCCUCUGACGUUAGCGGCGGACGGGUGAGUAACAUGUGGAUAACCUACCUAUAAGACUGGGAUAACUUCGGGAAACCGGAGCUAAUACCGGAUAACAUGUUGAACCGCAUGGUUCAACAGUGAAAGACGGUCUUGCUGUCACUUAUAGAUGGAUCCGCGUCGCAUUAGCUAGUUGGUAAGGUAACGGCUUACCAAGGCAACGAUGCGUAGCCGACCUGAGAGGGUGAUCGGCCACACUGGAACUGAGACACGGUCCAGACUCCUACGGGAGGCAGCAGUAGGGAAUCUUCCGCAAUGGGCGAAAGCCUGACGGAGCAACGCCGCGUGAGUGAAGAAGGUCUUCGGAUCGUAAAACUCUGUUAUUAGGGAAGAACAAAUGUGUAAGUAACUAUGCACGUCUUGACGGUACCUAAUCAGAAAGCCACGGCUAACUACGUG